This 198-nucleotide long non-coding RNA is filed under the name Junco hyemalis (dark-eyed junco). RNAcentral describes it as "lncRNA (ENSJHYG00000012679.1)". The record is from RNAcentral. Lineage: Eukaryota; Metazoa; Chordata; Aves; Passeriformes; Passerellidae.
UGAUGAUCCUGGUGAUACUCUCAUCAAGUUAAUGUUUGAAAAAUCAUGUGGCUUUUUACUUUGCUGUAUCUCUGCCCCCUGAGCCCUGGAGAAGUCAUGGAGUUCCUUGGCUGCCCUGAAAUCAGCAGGUACUGAAGGAAAUGGUGUUGGGUACUCAGGGGUGGCUUUCUGUUCAGGCAUGACCUGAGCAAAAGGAUU